Molecule: long non-coding RNA, 380 nt
Organism: Perca flavescens (yellow perch)
Lineage: Eukaryota; Metazoa; Chordata; Actinopteri; Perciformes; Percidae
Exons: 4
Source: RefSeq, a predicted model, not a curated record
AGGAGUACCGCCCGGUUUGGUCUGUGCGUGUGCGCACCAGAGUCCCGGGUCACACACACUCCUCGAAGAGAGCUGGAGCAGCGUUAAGUUUGCAGCCAACCUCGACCGAGAUUUCAAUUGAGCAGGAGGUCACAUUGCCCACCACACCAAGGCGGAUCAUGCUAGGAAGAAGUUUGACGUCUUCCACCCAUUGGAUGGUCAGCAUUGAGGGGAAGGUCCUCUUUGAAGCUAACCAACUUAACGCCAGUGCUUUUGUCGUCUUCUUUGGCUCCUUUUAUGCGUUCAAUCUUGAAUAUCAAGAGUCAGCAUCUACUACACUGGAGUUGGUACAAGGAUCAACCCAGAUGAGGGAAGCAAGUGCAUGGCCGAAGUGGGUACAA